Molecule: ribosomal RNA, 404 nt
Filed under: uncultured bacterium
Lineage: Bacteria
Description: bacterial SSU rRNA
Rfam family: Bacterial small subunit ribosomal RNA
Source: RNAcentral
AGAGUUUGAUCAUGGCUCAGAGCGAACGCUGGCGGCAGGCCUAACACAUGCAAGUCGAGCGGAUGUAGCAAUACAUCAGCGGCAGACGGGAGAGUAACACGUGGGAACGCGCCCUUCGGUUCGGAAUAACUCAGGGAAACUUGAGCUAAUACCGGAUACGCCCUUACGGGGAAAGAUUUAUUGCCGAAGGAACGGCCCGCGUCCGAUUAGCUUGUUGGUGAGGUAAUGGCUCACCAAGGCGACGAUCGGUAGCUGGUCUGAGAGGAUGACCAGCCUCACUGGGACUGAGACACGGCCCAGACUCCUACGGGAGGCAGCAGUGGGGAAUAUUGGACAAUGGGCGCAAGCCUGAUCCAGCCAUGCCGCGUGAGUGAUGAAGGCCUUAGGGUUGUAAAGCUCUUUUA